UGUUUCUUAUCAAGUGGCUGACAUGUAUUUCUGGCAAUGGAAAUCAAAUUUCGACCAACCAUUUUAUUUCGUGGAAGAAUGAACGAAACUUGAAGCCUCUUUUGACAUUCAAAAAUGCAACAUUGGAGCGAAAAAUUAAUCUGGAUUUCUGACAGGACGACGAACUGAUUUUGGGAAGAGCUGCUACAUCAGUGCAUCAUUCAGGUA
Planococcus citri (citrus mealybug) is the source of this 207-nucleotide long non-coding RNA. RefSeq lists it as uncharacterized. Lineage: Eukaryota; Metazoa; Arthropoda; Insecta; Hemiptera; Pseudococcidae. The transcript is spliced from 3 exons. The record is from RefSeq and is a predicted model, not a curated record.